Molecule: long non-coding RNA, 533 nt
Filed under: Rosa chinensis
Lineage: Eukaryota; Viridiplantae; Streptophyta; Magnoliopsida; Rosales; Rosaceae
Description: sRNA RchiOBHm_Chr3g0494901
Source: RNAcentral
CCUUGCAGCCGCAUCACUCUCUCUCCCCGAUCUCUCUCUCCCUCUCGUCCUCCCUCUGCCAUCACCGGAAAACCCCAUCUCCGGCCACUGUCUUGCAAAACCGCCACCACCCUUCGAACCAGCUCCUAUAUCCGACCAAAACCCGAGCCCAGCACCACCAUGCAUCGUCUCCAACCUCCACACGCUACCACCAAACCCGCGACACCACCGCCUUCCAUAAUCCUCCGGUCUCCAGUCUCUGAUUCACACCACCAUUAUCAGAAAUUGAAGCACCAAGCCUUGAGGAGACCAUGCCUUAAAUCCCGAAGCCGGAAAACCGCCGUACGAGCUCGCCGGAACUCGUAGCUAGCUCUGCAUGCCUUCGUUCCCCAACCUCCAGUCCAAGUCGAGCUAAACUACCUCCAUAGAUGUAAUCAGCGCCUCACUACCCACCUGUUUCUAAGAUGCAGACCUCCGAUUUCGACUAGAGCCGUCGCACGCGCUACACGCACCGCCGCUGGCGCGUGGACCGCCAUAGCUCCGCCGGCGUAAGC